GGCGGCAUGGCUAAGACAUGCAAGUCGAACGGACCAUAUAAUUGGGUAACCGAAAGUAUGGUUAGUGGCGAAAGGGUGAGGAAUAGAUAGGAACGUACCCUGUGCUCUGGGAUAGCGUCUGAAGCUUCGGCUUCUUCCGAAAGGGGCGGUAAUACCAGAUAAUGUCCUUCGGGACCAAAGAUUUAUCGGCAUUGGAGCGGCCUAUCUCCUAUCAGCUUGUUGGUGAGGUAACGGCUCACCAAGGCAACGACGGGUAGCGGGACUGAGAGGUUGGCCCGCCACAUCGGGACUGAGACACUGCCCGGACCUCCACGGAGGGCUGCAGUAACGGAUAUCGGGCAAUGGGCGAAAGCCUGACCCAGCAAUGCCGCGUGCAGGAUGAAGCCCCUAGGGGUGUAAACUGCUGUCAGGGGUCAGAAAGCUGGUUUCGGCCAGUUGAUCAAGCCCAGAGGAAGUCACGGCUAACUUCGUGCCAGCAGCCGCGGUAAUACGAAGGUGGCAAGCGUUAUUCGGAAUCAUUGGGCUUAAAGGGCACGCAGGCGGAACAGUGUGUGUUGUGUGAAAUCCCCCGGCUUAACCGGGGAAUUGCACAGCAAACUGCUGUUCUUGAGGCAGGUAGGGGUGCAUGGAACUCUUGGUGGAGCGGUGGAAUGCGUAGAUAUCAAGAGGAACGCCAGAGGUGAAGACGGUGCACUGGGCCUGUCCUGACGCUGAGGUGCGAAAGCGUGGGGAGCGAACGGGAUUAGAUACCCCGGAGUCCACGCCGUAAACGAUGUCUACUAGGUCGUGGGUGUUCUGACACAUUCACGGCCGGAGCAAAAGUGUUUAGUAGACCGCCUGGGGGGUACGCCCGCAAGGUUAAAACUCAAAUGAAUUGACGGGGGCUCACACAAGCGGUGGAGCAUGUGGAUUAAUUCGAAGCAACGCGCAGAACCUUACCUGGGUUUGACAUGCUUGUAUGCCUUCUCUGAAAGGAGUUAGGCUGCCUUCGGGUGAAACUUGCACAGGUGCUGCAUGGCUGUCGUCAGCUCGUGUCGUGAGAUGUCGGGUUAAGUCCUGUAACGAGCGAAACCCUUGCCGUUAGUUGCCAGCGAGUAAUGUCGGGGACUCUAACGGGACUGCCGGUGUUAAACCGGAGGAAGGUGGGGAUGACGUCAAGUCCUCAUGGCCUUUAUGCCCAGGGCUUCACACGUGCUACAAUGGCAAUUACAGAGCGACGCGAUACCGCGAGGUGGAGCAAAUCGCAAAAAAAUUGCCUCAGUUCGGAUUGCAGGCUGGCAAUUCGCCUGCAUGAAGUCGGAAUCGCUAGUAAUCGCGUAUCAGCAAUGACGCGGUGAAUGUGUUCCUGAGCUUUGUACACACCGCCCGUCAAGUGAUGGAAGCCGGGAGUACCCGAAGUCGGGUUGCUAACCUUUGGGAGGCGCCUGCCGACGGUAAGUUCGAUGACUGGCACUAAGUCGU
Molecule: ribosomal RNA, 1461 nt
Filed under: uncultured organism
Description: bacterial SSU rRNA
Rfam family: Bacterial small subunit ribosomal RNA
Source: RNAcentral